AUACAGAGGGUGCGAGCGUUAAUCGGAAUUACGGGGCGUAAAGCGCGCGUAGGCGGCUUAUUAAGUCAGAUGUGAAAUCCCCGGGCUCAACCUGGGAACUGCAUCUGAUACUGGUAAGCUAGAGUUUUGGAGAGGGAAGUAGAAUUUCAGGUGUAGCGGUGAAAUGCAUAGAGAUCUGAAGGAAUACCAGUGGCGAAGGCGACUUCCUGGCCAAAAACUGACGCUGAGGUGCGAAGGCGUGGGUAGCAAACGGGAUUAGAGACCCUAGUAGUCC
Molecule: ribosomal RNA, 274 nt
Filed under: uncultured bacterium
Lineage: Bacteria
Description: partial 16S ribosomal RNA
Rfam family: Bacterial small subunit ribosomal RNA
Source: RNAcentral